GUACGGGAGGCAGCAGUCGGGAAUUUUGGGCAAUGGGCGAAAGCCUGACCCAGCAACGCCGCGUGAAGGAUGAAGUAUUUCGGUAUGUAAACUUCGAAAGAAUGGGAAGAAUCAAUGACGGUACCAUUUAUAAGGUCCGGCUAACUACGUGCCAGCAGCCGCGGUAAUACGUAGGGACCAAGCGUUGUUCGGAUUUACUGGGCGUAAAGGGCGCGUAGGCGGCAAUUCAAGUCAUCUGUGAAAUCUCCGGGCUUAACUCGGAACGGUCAGGUGAUACUGUUUUGCUAGAGUGCAGAAGGGGCAAUCGGAAUUCUUGGUGUAGCGGUGAAAUGCGUAGAUAUCAAGAGGAACACCUGAGGUGAAGACGGGUUGCUGGGCCGACACUGACGCUGACAGCGCGAAAGCCAGGGGAGCAAACGGGAUUAGAAACCCGUGUAGUCCG
RNAcentral lists this ribosomal RNA (442 nucleotides) under uncultured bacterium. RNAcentral's name for it is "bacterial SSU rRNA". It matches the Rfam family "Bacterial small subunit ribosomal RNA", at positions 339 to 797 of the family's 1533-position model. The record is from RNAcentral.